AUGGCGUCGGCGGCGCCCGCCGCCGCACCCGGGCGGCCCCACCCGACCUACACCAACAUGAUUACUUACGCGCUCGCCCAGCUGGGAGGCGCCUCCGCCCGCUCCGCCAUCGCCGGAUUCAUCGCCGCACGCUUCACCGGGCUCCCCGUCAGCCACGACGCGCUCCUCUCCGCCCACCUCCGCCGCCUCGUCGCCGAGGGUGUCCUCUGCACCUCCGGAUUCUCCUACUUGUUCUCUUCCCACCACCAGCCACCCGAGAGUAACAGUCCCGAUCUCGAUUCGGAUGAUCAAUCUGGUUCUGGGUUCCACUUCCACCUCCACAGUAGCAGUGACGACGACGACGACGACGAUGAUGCCUACACUCCUCUGCUGCAUCUGCAUCUGCCUCUGCCUCUGCCUGUGCCUGUGCCUGUGCUGGGAGAGAAGCGGGGCCGGGGGCGACCGCGGAAUAGUUCCCCGGCGAAUGCUGCCGGCCGUCCUCGCAAGGCUGCUGCUGCAACGCCUGGAGAACCCUGUCCUGCUCCUGCAAAGGGAGAGCCAACAGAGCAUUCUGGUGCUGGUUUAGGGUCUGUGCUGCUGUCUGGGAAACCAAAGCGAGGCCGUGGGAGACCAAGGAAGCUACAGCGAGUUGGGCCGUCCCCCUCAACUGGUGGUGGUGGUGGUGGUGGUCGUAUCAAGAGAGGGCCUGGGAGGCCGACAAAGGAGGACCAACAAUCACAAGCAGCAGCAGCAAAGCAUCCUCCAACUCCAACUGCGUCAUCAACCAGUGGCAUCGCCAAGAUCAAGAGAGGGCCUGGGAGGCCAAGAAAGGAGGAGCAACAAUCACAGGCAGCAGCAGCAGCAGCACAGCAUCCUCCAACUCCAACUGCGUCGUCAACCGGUGGCAUCGCCAAGAUCAAGAGAGGGCCUGGGAGGCCAAGAAAGGAGGAGCAACAAUCACAGGCAGCAGCAGCAGCAGCAGCAGCACAGCAUCCUCCAACUCCAACUGCGUCGUCAACCGGUGGCAUCGCCAAGAUCAAGAGAGGGCCUGGGAGGCCAAGAAAGGAGGAGCAACAAUCACAAGCAGCAGCAGCACAGCAUCCUCCAACUCCAACUGCGUCGUCAACUGGUGGCAUCAUCAAGAUCAAGAGAGGGCGUGGGAGGCCGAGAAAGGAGGAGGAGCAACAAUCACAGGAAGCAACAAUGCCUCUUCCAACUCCACCGGCAUCAAGGGGGUUCAAGGUAGGAUGUGGGAGACCAAUGCUAGCUCCUACAUCUCAUCUGGAGACACACGGAGGGCCUCCCAGGAAUCGGAGGCCAAUAAUAAUAGAGAAGCUGCCACCAGCAGCAAGGUGGUCUGUUGAUGCUAUGCCGUCAGAAAUCAAGAGGCCAAGAAUCUACAGACCAUCAGCAGAAACUGGAGAUGCAACACGUGCUCCUGAAACUGUAGAUGCUGCGUCGUCCGGAAUCAAGAUAGAGGGCGUGCAGCCACAAGUGGACAAGCCAACGGCACCAAUGCCUGCUGAAGCUGGGGAUGCUCGGUCUGCAGGGAUCAAGAGAGGGCGUGGGAGGCCAAGAAAAGACAAGCCAGCAGCAGCAGCAGCAGCAAUGUUGGCUCAAACUGAAGCUGUAGAUGCUGUGUCAACUGGGAUGAAGGGGGCGCUUGAGAAUCCAAUAUCAGGUUAUGUCGUGUCAACUGGAACCAAGGGAGCACUUGAGAAGCCAUCAUCGGCAGGUGAUAUUGUGUCGGUGGUGAUGAAGAGAGGGCGUGGGAGGCCAAGGAAAGAGCAACUGACCUUUGAUUGA
RNAcentral lists this ribosomal RNA (1785 nucleotides) under Triticum aestivum (bread wheat). RNAcentral describes it as "partial small subunit ribosomal RNA". Lineage: Eukaryota; Viridiplantae; Streptophyta; Magnoliopsida; Poales; Poaceae. The record is from RNAcentral.